This 431-nucleotide ribosomal RNA is filed under the name uncultured bacterium. RNAcentral describes it as "partial 16S ribosomal RNA". It matches the Rfam family "Bacterial small subunit ribosomal RNA", at positions 29 to 507 of the family's 1533-position model. The record is from RNAcentral.
AACGAACGCUGGCGGCAGGCCUAUCACAUGCAAGUCGAGCGCCCCGCAAGGGGAGCGGCGGACGGGUGAGUAACGCGUGGGAAUAUGCCCUUUGCUACGGAAUAGUCUCGGGAAACUGGGGGUAAUACCGUAUACGCCCUUUGGGGGAAAGAUUUAUCGGCGAAGGAUUAGCCCGCGUUGGAUUAGGUAGUUGGUGGGGUAAUGGCCUACCAAGCCGACGAUCCAUAGCUGGUUUGAGAGGAUGAUCAGCCACACUGGGACUGAGACACGGCCCAGACUCCUACGGGAGGCAGCAGUGGGGAAUCUUAGACAAUGGGGGCAACCCUGAUCUAGCCAUGCCGCGUGAGUGAUGAAGGCCUUAGGGUUGUAAAGCUCUUUCAGCUGGGAAGAUAAUGACGGUACCAGCAGAAGAAGCCCCGGCUAACUCCGUG